UAGGGAAUCUUCCACAAUGGGCGCAAGCCUGAUGGAGCAACACCGCGUGAGUGAAGAAGGGUUUCGGCCCGUAAAGCUCUGUUGUUAAAGAAGAACACGUAUGAGAGUAACUGUUCAUACGUUGACGGUAUUUAACCAGAAAGUCACGGCUAACUACGAGCCAG
RNAcentral lists this ribosomal RNA (164 nucleotides) under uncultured bacterium. RNAcentral describes it as "partial 16S rRNA". It matches the Rfam family "Bacterial small subunit ribosomal RNA", at positions 355 to 511 of the family's 1533-position model. The record is from RNAcentral.